Molecule: ribosomal RNA, 254 nt
Filed under: uncultured bacterium
Lineage: Bacteria
Description: partial 16S ribosomal RNA
Rfam family: Bacterial small subunit ribosomal RNA
Source: RNAcentral
UACGUAGGGGGCAAGCGUUGUCCGGAUUUAUUGGGCGUAAAGAGCGUGUAGGCGGCCAAACAGGUCAGCUGUGAAAACUCGAGGCUCAACCUCGAGACGUCGGUUGAAACCGUAUGGCUAGAGUCCGGAAGAGGAGAGUGGAAUUCCCGGUGUAGCGGUGAAAUGCGCAGAUAUCGGGAAGAACACCGGUGGCGAAGGCGGGACUCUGGGCCGAUACUGACGCUGAGGAGCGAAAAGCGUGGGGAGCGAACAGG